Molecule: ribosomal RNA, 384 nt
Filed under: uncultured bacterium
Lineage: Bacteria
Description: bacterial SSU rRNA
Rfam family: Bacterial small subunit ribosomal RNA
Source: RNAcentral
AUUGAACGCUGGCGGCAUGCCUUACACAUGCAAGUCGAACGGCAGCGCGGGCAACCGUGGCGGCGAGUGGCGAACGGGUGAGUAACAUAUCGGAACAUACCCUAGAGUGGGGAUAACGUAGCGAAAGUUACGCUAAUACCGCAUACGCACUAAGGUGGAAAGUGGGGGAUCUUCGGACCUCAUGCUCAUGGAGUGGCCGAUAUCUGAUUAGCUAGUUGGUGAGGUAAAGGCUCACCAAGGCGACGAUCAGUAGCUGGUUUGAGAGAACGACCAGCCACACUGGAACUGAGACACGGUCCAGACUCCUACGGGAGGCAGCAGUGGGGAAUUUUGGACAAUGGGGGCAACCCUGAUCCAGCAAUGCCGCGUGAGUGAAGAAGGCCU